This 252-nucleotide unclassified non-coding RNA is filed under the name uncultured fungus. RNAcentral's name for it is "sequence contains ITS2". Lineage: Eukaryota; Fungi. The record is from RNAcentral.
AACGCACAUUGCGCCCCUUGGCACUCCGGGGGGCAUGCCCGUUCGAGCGUCAUUACAGCCCUCGAGCAUGGCUUGAUGCUGGGCCCUGCCGCGGCUUGUUUGUGGCUGGCCUUAAAAUCAGUGGCGGUGCGGUCUGGCCCUGAGCGUAGUAACCAUCCUCGCUAUAUGUCGCCGGCGUAACACCUGCCAGCAACCCCCAGAUUUUUUUCUAUGGAUAACCUCGGAUCGGGUAGGGGUACCCGCUGAACUUAA